GGUGAGAUGGCCGAGUGGUUAUGGCGCUGCGUUCAGGUUUAGCUGAAUUGUCUAUCAAGAUAUAAAAAUCUCGCAGUGGAGCAAUCCGCGUGGGUUCGAGUCCCACUCUCAUCA
Non-coding RNA from Daldinia loculata, 114 nucleotides. NCBI's taxonomy places the organism in Eukaryota, Fungi, Ascomycota, Sordariomycetes, Xylariales, Hypoxylaceae. The record is from the annotation of a RefSeq genome assembly.